CUUGCACUGAUUUCACAAUGAAGCGAGUGGCGAACUGGUGAGUAACACGUGGGAAUCUGCCCAGAAGCAGGGGAUAACACUUGGAAACAGGUGCUAAUACCGUAUAACAACAAAAUCCGCAUGGAUUUUGUUUGAAAGGUGGCUUCGGCUAUCACUUCUGGAUGAUCCCGCGGCGUAUUAGUUAGUUGGUGAGGUAAAGGCCCACCAAGACGAUGAUACGUAGCCGACCUGAGAGGGUAAUCGGCCACAUUGGGACUGAGACACGGCCCAAACUCCUACGGGAGGCAGCAGUAGGGAAUCUUCCACAAUGGACGAAAGUCUGAUGGAGCAAUGCCGCGUGAGUGAAGAAGGGUUUCGGCUCGUAAAACUCUGUUGUUAAAGAAGAACACCUUUGAGAGUAACUGUUCAAGGGUUGACGGUAUUUAACCAGAAAGCCACGGCUAACUACGUGCCAGCAGCCGCGGUAAUACGUAGGUGGCAAGCGUUGUCCGGAUUUAUUGGGCGUAAAGCGAGCGCAGGCGGUUUUUUAAGUCUGAUGUGAAAGCCUUCGGCUUAACCGGAGAAGUGCAUCGGAAACUGGGAGACUUGAGUGCAGAAGAGGACAGUGGAACUCCAUGUGUAGCGGUGGAAUGCGUAGAUAUAUGGAAGAACACCAGUGGCGAAGGCGGCUGUCUAGUCUGUAACUGACGCUGAGGCUCGAAAGCAUGGGUAGCGAACAGGAUUAGAUACCCUGGUAGUCCAUGCCGUAAACGAUGAGUGCUAAGUGUUGGAGGGUUUCCGCCCUUCAGUGCUGCAGCUAACGCAUUAAGCACUCCGCCUGGGGAGUACGACCGCAAGGUUGAAACUCAAAGGAAUUGACGGGGGCCCGCACAAGCGGUGGAGCAUGUGGUUUAAUUCGAAGCUACGCGAAGAACCUUACCAGGUCUUGACAUCUUCUGCCAAUCUUAGAGAUAAGACGUUCCCUUCGGGGACAGAAUGACAGGUGGUGCAUGGUUGUCGUCAGCUCGUGUCGUGAGAUGUUGGGUUAAGUCCCGCAACGAGCGCAACCCUUAUUAUCAGUUGCCAGCAUUCAGUUGGGCACUCUGGUGAGACUGCCGGUGACAAACCGGAGGAAGGUGGGGAUGACGUCAAAUCAUCAUGCCCCUUAUGACCUGGGCUAACGUGCUACAAUGGACGGUACAACGAGUCGCAAAU
RNAcentral lists this ribosomal RNA (1194 nucleotides) under Levilactobacillus brevis. RNAcentral describes it as "bacterial SSU rRNA". It matches the Rfam family "Bacterial small subunit ribosomal RNA", at positions 70 to 1254 of the family's 1533-position model. The record is from RNAcentral. Lineage: Bacteria; Bacillati; Bacillota; Bacilli; Lactobacillales; Lactobacillaceae.